This is a non-coding RNA of Acanthosepion pharaonis, 113 nucleotides long. Lineage: Eukaryota; Metazoa; Mollusca; Cephalopoda; Sepiida; Sepiidae. The record is from the annotation of a GenBank genome assembly.
AGGGCCAGAUCACGUUGAAACACCAGAUUCCCAUAUGAUCCCCGAAGUUAAGCAACGUCGAGUCUGGUCAGCUACUAGAUAGGUAACCGCAUUGGAAUACCAGGUGCUACAAG